RNAcentral lists this ribosomal RNA (643 nucleotides) under uncultured Actinomycetes bacterium. Its description in RNAcentral is "bacterial SSU rRNA". It matches the Rfam family "Bacterial small subunit ribosomal RNA", at positions 232 to 885 of the family's 1533-position model. Lineage: Bacteria; Bacillati; Actinomycetota; Actinomycetes. The record is from RNAcentral.
CGCGGCCUAUCAGCUUGUUGGUGGGGUAGUGGCCUACCAAGGCGACGACGGGUAGCCGGCCUGAGAGGGUGACCGGCCACACUGGGACUGAGACACGGCCCAGACUCCUACGGGAGGCAGCAGUGGGGAAUAUUGCGCAAUGGGCGAAAGCCUGACGCAGCGACGCCGCGUGGGGGAUGACGGCCUUCGGGUUGUAAACCUCUUUCAGCAGGGACGAAGCGAAAGUGACGGUACCUGCAGAAGAAGCACCGGCCAACUACGUGCCAGCAGCCGCGGUAAUACGUAGGGUGCAAGCGUUGUCCGGAAUUAUUGGGCGUAAAGGGCUCGUAGGCGGUUUGUUGCGUCGGCUGUGAAAUCCCGAGGCUCAACCUCGGGUCUGCAGUCGAUACGAGCAAACUAGAGUGUUGCAGGGGAGACUGGGAUUCCUGGUGUAGCGGUGAAAUGCGCAGAUAUCAGGAGGAACACCGGUGGCGAAGGCGGGUCUCUGGGCAACAACUGACGCUGAGGAGCGAAAGCGUGGGGAGCGAACAGGAUUAGAUACCCUGGUAGUCCACGCCGUAAACGUUGGGCGCUAGGUGUGGGGCUCAUUCCACGAGUUCCGUGCCGCAGCUAACGCAUUAAGCGCCCCGCCUGGGGAGUACGG